UGCAAGUCGAGCGGAACGAAGGUAGCUUGCUACCAGGCGUCGAGCGGCGGACGGGUGAGUAACGCGUAGGAAUCUGCCUAGUAGAGGGGGACAACAUGUGGAAACGCAUGCUAAUACCGCAUACGCCCUGAGGGGGAAAGGAGGGGAUCACUUGUGACCUUCCGCUAUUAGAUGAGCCUGCGUGAGAUUAGCUAGUUGGUAGGGUAAAGGCCUACCAAGGCGACGAUCUCUAACUGGUCUGAGAGGAUGACCAGUCACACUGGGACUGAGACACGGCCCAGACUCCUACGGGAGGCAGCAGUGGGGAAUAUUGGACAAUGGGCGCAAGCCUGAUCCAGCCAUGCCGCGUGUGUGAAGAAGGCCUUAGGGUUGUAAAGCACUUUCAGGGGUGAGGAAGGGUGAGUCGCUAAUAUCGACUUAUCUUGACGUUAGCCCCAGAAGAAGCACCGGCUAACUCUGUGCCAGCAGCCGCGGUAAUACAGAGGGUGCAAGCGUUAAUCGGAAUUACUGGGCGUAAAGCGCGCGUAGGUGGUUUGUUAAGUCUGAUGUGAAAUCCCAGGGCUCAACCUUGGAAUGGCACCGGAUACUGGCUAGCUAGAGUA
Molecule: ribosomal RNA, 602 nt
Filed under: uncultured bacterium
Lineage: Bacteria
Description: bacterial SSU rRNA
Rfam family: Bacterial small subunit ribosomal RNA
Source: RNAcentral